Non-coding RNA from Gigaspora rosea, 71 nucleotides. Lineage: Eukaryota; Fungi; Glomeromycota; Glomeromycetes; Diversisporales; Gigasporaceae. The record is from the annotation of a GenBank genome assembly.
GGUCCGAUAGCAUAGCGGUUAUGCUCCGAGGUCAAAUCGGAAGGUCACCGGUUCGAAUCCUAUUGGUAGCG